RNAcentral lists this long non-coding RNA (31259 nucleotides) under Malus domestica (apple). RNAcentral's name for it is "long non-coding RNA (MDOM_LNC013620)". The record is from RNAcentral. Lineage: Eukaryota; Viridiplantae; Streptophyta; Magnoliopsida; Rosales; Rosaceae.
GAAUCCCUCAGUUUUUUUAUGCUUUUGUUAAGCUUCUCACGCUUUACUGCCACUGCCGGGGACUCCUCCAACAUCCUCUCAAUUCCCCCACCGUAAGGUCCCAACAACUCAUUCACAAUCUCAGCUUCCAUCUCUUUGUUCACAAGGUUGAAAACAGACAGCUGCAAGUGCAAUGCCAUGCAGUCCACAAGCCUCCUCAAAACAACCUUCCAAUAAGCAAUCAUUCUCAUUUUAAGGUCAUAAGCUUGAGCUAACACAUGCGGGUACUUCCUCAGAACACCGACUUCCACUUCCCCGAUGCCUUCUAUAUCUAUGAUAGAAGGCUUCUUCUCAUCAGUUAAGACUCCAUGAAUGAAUUCGUUUUGACUAGCCAUCAGCUUGUUCCAUUCGGAAACAUAAUCACCAUCACAUGUAUAAUCUGUCAGCUUUUCCAUCUCUACAAGCUCCAGCAUCCACUUGAUUGACCUCUCCUUCAUCUUGGCCAUUAGACUAUGGCCGGCACGCCUUGCUGACAGCUGCAGCUGAUGAUAGUUAUCCGUAUAAUGCAUCAACACAGAAAUAACCACCUCUUCAAUGUAGUUCCACACUUUUUCCUCAAAUGCAAUCGGAAUACUCGAAAUUUCAUUCACUUUUGCCUGCAAGAUAAUGAGGAAAGCAUUGCGUGGAAGGAAGUUCGGAAGUGAAAUACCUUUGGCCUCCUCCAAGAUCCUGAUCUCCUCCAUCAAGAAGUUGCUCUUUGCAUCAGUUUCAGCACAUCUGUGAAGUUCAUCCGAGUACUGGUUGAGCAUCUCAACCAAUCUAGCAGUGCAGUGCAUGCGAUUGUCUUCCGCGUACUCCUGAAAUUCUCCUCUCAAAAGAAUCUUCCUAAGCGAUUCCUUAGCCAAGCCAGUGAUUUGCAUAAAAGCCGUCAUGGCCUCAGCAACCGAUGAAAGACUCUUUGGCAUUUUGUUCAGCUCCAUAAUGCAGAAGUUCAGCCUGUCAUUGAUCUUCUUCACUAUCUCAGGUAUAUUUCUUGCUAUGCUGUUUGCUUGAAUUUGGACCAGCUUCUGUGCUAAAACUGGAAUGCCGACAAUGGACUUGUCAAUCUUCGAAAGCAGAGGAUGGGUUUGAAAUAGUUCAUGAGCCAUCACCGCUGCCUCCUCAUCAGUUUCGUCACCAAUCCUGUUCCUUACACAGACAUAACCAAGACCAAUGUUUACAUCAUCUCCAGUGACCUUCUCAAGUAGUCCUUCCGGUGCCUUGUCCACUUUCGUAACCACAGCGAGCGUCCUCUCACCAGUUUUAUCUACACUUUGUGACAUCCGGAUUGACUCACACGUAGUAAAAUCCACCGUAGCAGACAAUACAUUCAGAAUAAUACUUUCCUCCGGCUUAAUAUACUCCAUGAUCAUAUCUUUGAUCUGAUCAUAGAUAUUUUCAGGUUGGCCAUGGACUGGAACCCUUGUGAUUCCCGGAAGAUCAACCAUAGUCAGAUCCGGAACCCCAUACUUCUUCACCAACAAAGUAAGUGGCGUGUUUGAAAUUCCCUUACCUCCCCCCGCAAUAGAAUUAGUAGCUUUCACAAUAUCUUUGGUGAUAUUUUCUUCAUCAGUACGAUCAACUCUGCCAUUGUACUCCAAGGAAAGUUCAGGCUGAGGACUCGAGUGGUGUUCGAGCCUCAUAAUAAGAGGCACUCUCGUGCAGAUGCCUUGGCCCCGAGGUAGGCUGAUGCCGGCCAAGGAUUCGAGCACGCUAGACUUCCCGGAUGACUGGUCUCCGACCACCACAAUCGUUGGCAGCUGAAUGCCUUCAUCCAUCACCUUCAAGCUGCGUAACUUGUCUACCGCAUCCAGAAGAGGGCGGAUCUUGUCGUUAUAGGACGACACAAUGGGUGCGCAUUUGAGGGGUACUGCGUCUAGUCCUGCCUGAACCAUUGCGAGGGAGCCUUCACCGUUUAUAACUGUGCGACUCGAUUCCAUUUUCCUUGGUCCUUGCGUUUCUGAAUUAUAGCAAGUCAAAACAAUGGUGAAAAAUCUAGAGGGAAACCGAGAUUGUAGAGAGAUGAGAGAGAAUUCGAAGAUGGAAAAUGUUCUGUAUUGGGUUUAUGACUUAAUGGAGUAAAAUGUUCUAUUUAUAGCUACUGCUAUAUAUCAUUCUUAGCCCUUAAGCAACUUAACUGACUCUCAAUCAACAAUAGCAACACAUCUAACAAAAAUGCUACUUUUCCGAUAUAUUUGUACCAUCAUUUGCUUACAUUGAUAAAUCGGACUCAUACUCAUAAGCUGACAUGGCAGCCACAUGACUUAAAAGUAAGAAGAUUACUUGUCAGCGAAGAUAUCAGUCAGGAAGAAGUGAGAAAGCUGGGUUUAGUAAGUGCCUUAGGCUUAAAGGCUCCUAGUUGUAUGUAUAAUUGUUCAGCAAAACCUAUCGAAGUAAAUGACAACCAGCCUUUUCAAAACCGCAUGCUGAGAGAGUUGUGAUUUGGACUUCCAAACGUUCAGCAAACCAAACCGCUUGCGAGCCUUUGAACUUCUAAACCCUAAUCAGUGUAAAUGUAAUAUGGACAGUUAACUGAUAACCAUUUUUUGUGCUUGAUGCUCUUGAACUUCAGUCAACCUUUAUAUAUUAUUCAUUCAAAUAAUCGAUGACUAGCUAGCCAAUGUAAGUUGUAACCCAACAGAGACGAGAUGUUGAAGAAAAUUAAAUAUUUUUUGUAAUUUGGUAAGACAAACAAAGGCACCCAUUGGAGAAAGGGAAGUGCUAGCAGCCUUUGCCCUAACAUUUGUGUUUGGACCUCUUCACUUUAACAACUAACAGGUAUCAUUUUCUAUACAAAAAAGCAAGAAUUUUAAAGCUUUUGUCUAGGAAUUAACGAUGAGAAAUAUAAAAUAUACAUUAUUAUGUCAUUCAUUAAAAUGAAAAUUUUCAAAUGCAAAAGUUAGUGCAAAAGUGUAUUUCUCUUAGAAAAAUUCAAUCUAACAACCAAAAUUAAAGUUAACAAAAAAAAGUAGAGAACUUAAUUCAUAUUGAAUCUACCCUUAUGAUCGUGCUCCAGAAAAAUUGAGAAGGAUGCAGGGUUUUUGAAUUUGGUAAAGCUUAAGGAUUAAGGUUGCUGUUUUUUUUUUUUUUUUUUUUUUUUUUUUUUUUUUUUGGAGAAAAGUGGAAGAGAAAGAGCCUUUGAAGAUUCCUUUCUGAGUUUUCACAUUGUGGGGAUUUUGUUUCACUUUUACCAUUGUAAGACCAUAGAUAAUGGAUGCUGACAUGGUUGGACAGAUGUCGAAUAGUGGUGUGGUAUGCCCAAUCGGUUUAGGUUGCUGAAAAUAGCAACUUUAACUAAAAAUAGUGCAGGACUUUAAAAGAGGAAGGGGAAAUAAGAGUUUGAGGAAAAAGAGGCAACUUUAAUUCAUCAUUUCAUAGGUUCUUUACGCUCUCCAUUAUUACAUAUUUAUGCUCCUCAUAAAAGAGAAAAUAGAGUUUUAACGAAAAGCCCGCGGUACUGUUCACUUUAAUGAAAAACCACAUUUUUACACUAAAAAGUCAAAUCUGGUACUAUUCAUAUUACUCUUUAUUUUGUUCUUAUCGUUAAAAUUCAAAGUUUUAAAGCAUUUUUCAUUAGUUUUCCUAAGAGAACAACCCUAGCUACUUGGACAUAAAAAAAAAGGCUAGUACGGGCAAGUUGCAAGAGGAGAAGUAGUGGGCUCAAGUAAAUGGGCUUAAUAACUCCCCCCUCUCCUUGAGAAUAGGCCUGACCUUAGGUCAAGAAAUCGAGGUAACGGGCCAAGAUGUCGUCAGCUUCCUCCCAGGUGACAUCUUCAGUGGGUAGGCCAACCCACUUGAUCAACCAUUUUGUCGCAGCUUUAUUUUUUUUUCUUGAAUAUGCCCUUGUCUAAAACUCUUUCUGGUUGCCAGUGUAGAACCCCAGUGGAGUCGAUAGGAGGCAAAACUGACAGUGGAGGAGAAAUACUACCAAUCUUUUGUUUAAGGAGAGACACAUGAAAGACGGGGUGGAUUUUGGAGUCUAAAGGCAAACGAAGCUGAUAUGCUACGAAACUGAUGCGCUUAGUUAUCUGAAAAGGUCCAUAGAACUUGGGUGCCAGCUUGUUUGUUGUUCUAGUAGCCACUGAUUGUUAGCGGUAUGGUUAAAGCUUCAGGUAAACCCAGUCACCAACAUUAAAUUCCCGCUCAGUUCUCUUGUUAUCAUAGACUUGUCUCAUUUUGUUCUCUGCAAGCUGCAAAUUUGUUCUCAUAAGACAGAUUAAUUUGUCCUUAUCCUGUAUUGCAGCAUCAAUUGAGUGUACCGUCGUGGAGCCGAGCAUAUACAUGCAAAGGUGGUUCAAUGUCAUAAACAGCCUGAUAUAGAGACAUUUUGAUGGAAGAUUGGAAGCUUGUAUUAUACCACCAUCUAGCCCAGGGAAUGAGAGAAGACCAAUUGGUGGGUUUGUCUAUUGAGAAACAUCGAAGAAAAUGUUCCAAUGUGCAGUUAAGGACUUUCAUUUGCCUAUUCGUUUGAGGGUGGUAACCUAAACUUAGGCAAAGUUUGUUGCCUUGGAGUUUAAAGAACUCUUGCCAAAAGUUACUAAGAAAAUUGGGUCGCGAUCUGAAACGAUCUAUUUUGGCAUACCAUGGAGUCAGAAAACCUCAUUGCUGAAAGUAUCAGCUACAAAGGCAACUGUGUAUGGGUGCUUUAAUGGGAUAAAGUGGCCAUACUUUGAUAGGCGAUUGAUGACAACUAGGAUCACGGUGUACGCGUUGGAAAAUGGGAGCCCUUUGACAAAAUCAAGAGUGAUGUCCUGUCAUAUGCCAGUGGGGAUGAGCAAGGGAUGCAGUAACCUAGGAGGGUGUUUUGUAUGCAUUAAGCCACAAUUUUUUUUUGUUUCCUUUCGAAUUCCCGGCCAUAAAACUUUUUUGGAGAGUCUUUUGUAUGUUCAAAGGAAGCCCAAGUGACCAUCUUAGAGAGAUGCAUGGAAUUCAUCCAAGAGUUUAGGUUGCCAUUGGGAUGUGAGUAGUGGGACAAAGAUCUGUUGCUUGUAGUGCAACACAUCAUUUAUAAUUGAGAACCCUUUGAUUGAAGUGUUGGGUAUUGGAACUAAAAGAUUCCAAACCUUUUGCACUUCUAGAUCCUAUGCAUAAGACUGUUGCAACUGAGGAAUGCAAUCAAAUAUAGGGGUAGAGAGGCCUAUUAAGAGCAAAAGUUCUUGUUGGCAGGAGAUAGCAUAUGGAGCACUGUUUUGAGAACCCGACCUAUACUCGACCGAGUAGUUGUACCCCAACAAUUUCACCAGCCAUUUUUAAUUUUUUUCACAAAAACUGUAAGUUAUAACUCACGUUUUCCAAUCGAUUUUAAGAACUUUUACAAGAUUCAUUAUAAGCCAAAAUUUGAGUCGUUUUAGUCGCACCACAUGUUUUCUAAAAUUAAUUUAGGACAUCCCAAAUAUUUUUCAACACCUACAAAUUUCUUUGGUGGCUUCACUAUUAGUUUAUACUAUUUUUCUAACUCAUAGUAACAACGAAAAAAUUUCUCAGCAUGACCAAAAUGAUUGAUGGUGCAUCAGAGACUACUUUUAUCGAUUUCAAAUUUGAAGGACUAAAGUAAGGAGUUAUGCCAGAAAGUGGCCCUCUACCACAGUGGUGGAGAGGAGUAUUGGCCUUACACUACGACAGAGCUUCGAACCAUGACGGCUCCCUAAUCUAACAUCUAAUUAAAAAAUCUAUUGUUUGACGAAGAAAAAAAAGUAAGGAGUUAUGUCAAUUUCAAAAUCCGUUUUGGCCCCUUUUUAACAUGGAUGGAGGGUUUCAAAUUCCUUGUUACUACCUUUUAGGGGUUUUAUUAAAUUUUAUGAAUUUUUUUGUUGGUAUAUUUGAGCGUGUCUUUAAAAUGAUUAAAAUUGUUUUAAUAUAAUAAAAUAAAAAGUGUUUAUGACAACAUUUUGACCAAAAAAAGGACUUUAUGGAGAGGUCUAUGAGCAAAAUGCAACUCUUACUACCUAUUUGUACUAUAAUUUGUACCACUAAUAAAGAUGAGACUCACAUGCGUUGGCGAGCCUUACCUCUAUUAGAGAUAUAGUAGAAAUAUAUGGUAAAUGUAGCAUUACUCGUCUAUGAGUGUUUUCAACGGAGUACAAUUCUCUGUCAUCCUAUUCCUAGUGUGGUUUAGUCCAUACUAAGUGUAUGGAUUCUAACAAACGAUCAAUUAAAACAUGAAAUCUAAUAUGGACAUUUAAUUAAAUGUUUAUUAAUAUUUACGGUGCGGUUCGGUUUCGGUGUAGUUUUCAAAAGCCAAAACCGAAACCAAACCGUUUUCUAUGUUGCGGUUCGGUUUCAAAACCGAAACCGUUUCAAAACCGCAAAACCAAACCAUUCGGUGCGGUUUGAUUUGGUUCGUGUUUUGGUUUCGGUUUUCGGUUCUAAGUGCCAAUCCCUAGGAGAGCGUGUCCCUUUUUUUUGAAAAAUAUGGAUCAUUUCCCUUAAGCUCCUCCUACACACACACACACACACACACACACACACACACACACAUAUAUAUAUUAAAAUGAUAACCUUUCUUGGAUAGAACUGAGCAUAUAAACAUGCAAAGGUAAUGUUAGAGAGACCAAAGUUUUAAACAAAAUAAUGUGUUACCAAUAAAAAAUAAGCACGUUAAUCAACGCUAAAGUAAUAAUUCAAUUAUCAAUAAGCACAUCAUUUGGUUUGUAAAUUUGAUUUAAAAAAUUUGGUCUCCCUAACAUUAUCCAACCUGCAAACAAGUUUAAUUAUCUUAGACAAGCAACAUUAUUUACAUAUUUACUUUCAGGCAAUUACAAAUUUGACGUCGAAAAGAAGAUUUAAGGAAAAUGGUUUUCUUAUUAAUUAGGAUUUUUACAAUGCGUGUCGCAUUCUUUACCUAAAGUUUUUAUGUCUGUCAGAUUGGUUAUGAAAGCUCACUGUCAUAUUAAUAAACGGUAUUAUAAGCAGAAAACAUGAGACAAAAAAUAGGAGUUAAACUGUAUGUAAGAGGAAAUCGCACUUAAAUUUCAUUAAUAACAGUAAACUUGACAAGGAUUACCACAAUCAUACGACUACGGACUAUUACACAACAAGAACACAAGGGAAACAAAAGAACUUAAAAACAAAAGUUGACUAACAAACAACCACCCACAUCAGACAACAGAAAGCUAAUUGCCAAGUUAGUUAAUCACCAUAAGUGAUAAUGCUGUCCAUAAUCUUGGCCACCACCUCCUUCGAAUCCCUCAGUUUUUUUAUGCUUUUGUUAAGCUUCUCACGCUUUACUGCCACUGCCGGGGACUCCUCCAACAUCCUCUCAAUUCCCCCACCGUAAGGUCCCAUCAACUCAUUCACAAUCUCAGGCUCCAUCUCUUUGUUCACAAGGUUGAAAACAGACAGCUGCAAGUGCAAUGCCAUGGAGUCCACAAGCCUCCUCAAAACAACCUUCCAAUAAGCAAUCAUUCUCAUUUUAAGGUCAUAAGCUUGAGCUAACACAUGCGGGUACAUCCUCAGAACACCGACUUCCACUUCCCCGAUGCCUUCUAUAGUUAUGAUAGAAGGUUUAUACUCGUCAGUUAAGACUUCAUGAAUGAAUUGAUUUUGACUAGCCAUCAACUUCUUCCAUUCGGAAACAUAAUCAUCAUCACAUGUAUAAUCCGUUAGCUUUUCCAUCUCUACAAGCUCCAGCAUCCACUUGAUUGACCUUUCCUUCAUCUUGGCCAUUAGAUUAUGGCCGGCACGCCUGGCUGACAGCUGCAACUGAUGAUAGUUCUCCGUAUAAUGCAUCAACACAGAAAUAACCACCUCUUCAAUGUAGCUCCACACUUUUUCCUCAAAUGCUAUCGGAAUACUCGAAAUUUCAUUCACUUUUCCUUGCAAGAUAAUGAGGAAAGCAUUGCGUGGAAGGAAGUUCGGAAGUGAAAUACCUUUGGCCUCCUCCAAGAUCUUGAUCCCCUCCAUCAAGAAGUUGCUCUUUGCACCAGUUUCAGCACAUAUGUGAAGUUCAUCCGAGUACUGUUUGAGCAUCUCAACCAAUCUAGCAGUGCAGUGCAUGCGAUUGUCGUCCGCAUAGUCCUCAAAUUCUCCUCUCAAAAAAAUCUUCCUAAGCGAUUCCUUAGCCAAGCCAAUGAUUUGCAUAAAGGCUGUCAUUGCCUCGGCAACAGAUGAAAGACUCUUUGGCAUUUUGUUCAGCUCCAUAAUGCAGAAGUUCAGCCUGUCAUUGAUCUUCUUCACUAUAUCGGGUAUAUUUCUUGCUAUGCUGUUUGCUUGAAUUUGGACCAGCUUCUGUGCUAAAACUGGAAUACCGACAAUGGACUUGUCAAUCUUCGAAAGCAGGGGAUGGGUUUGAAAUAGUUCAUGAGCCAUCGCCGCUGCCUCCUCAUAAGUUUCGUCACCAAUCCUGUUCCUUACACAGACAUAACCAAGACCAAUGUUUACAUCAUCUCCAGUGACCUUCUCAAGUAGUCCUUCCGGUGCCUUGUCCACUUUCGUAACCACAGCGAGCGUCCUCUCACCAGUUUUAUCUACACUUUGUGACAUCCGAAUUGACUCACACGUAGUAAAAUCCACCGUAGCAGACAACACAUUCAGAAUAAUACUUUCUUCCGGCUUAAUAUACUCCAUGAUCAUAUCUUUGAUCUGAUCAUAAAUAUUUUCAGGUUGGCCAUGGACCGGAACCCUUGUGAUUCCCGGAAGAUCAACCAUAGUCAGAUCCGGAACCCCAUUCUUCUUCACCAACAAAGUAAGUGGCGUGUUCGAAAUUCCCUUACCUCCUCCCGCAAUAGAAAUAGUAGCUUUCACAAUGUCUUUGGCGAUAUUGUCUUCAUCAGUACGAUCAACUCUGCCAUUGUACUCCAGGGAAAGUUCAGGCUGAGGACUCGAGUGGUGUUCCAGCCUCAUAAUAAGAGGCACUCUCGUGCAGAUGCCUUGGCCCCGAGGGAGGCUGAUGCCGGCCAAGGAUUCGAGCACGCUGGACUUCCCCGAUGACUGGUCUCCGACCACCACAAUCGUUGGCAGCUGAAUGCCUUCAUCCAUCACCAUCAAGCUGCGUAACUUGUCUACCGCAUCCAGAAGAGGGCGGAUCUUGUCGUUGUAGGAUGACACAAUGGGUGCGCAUUUGAGAGGUACUGCGUCUAGUUCUGCCUGAACCAUGGCGAGGGAGCCUUCACCGUUUAAAUCUGUGCAACUCGAUUCCAUUUGCCUUGGUCCUUCCGUUUCUGAAUUAUAGCAAGUGAAAAUAAUGGUGAAAAUUCUAGAGAGAAACCGAGAUAAUUUCAAGCUUAAUUAGCUAAAGAAUUGAGGUUCUCUGGCAGUUUACCCUCCAGUUUAUAACAUUUUUUUACUAAGAAUGUUUUCAGGUAAGGGAAAACACCACUUUCGUGAUCCAGUAGGAAACGGAGCCUUUCUUUCAACCGCUGCAUUUCCACAAACUCAAGAGACUCUAAUACCCGAAAAGGCAAGUUACGCUCUCCUUAAAACUCAGCACCAAUUCGAAGAUGGAGUAAAAUGUUCUGUAUUGAGUUUGUGACUUAGUGGAGUAAAAUGUCCUAUUUAUAGUGAUGCAGUACAAGACUCUCAUGCAUGUAUUGGAAUCUACCAAGAGUUGGAACCAUCAAAUAUAUUUAAUGGAGUUUUAGAGCAACACAACUAAUUAAGUAGUCAUUUAAGACCAUUUUAAAUAUUUUGGGUAGAGCAAAAGUCCAAUUCGGACUAGAGUUUCAUUGUGUUGUAUUCCUUAUAAAUAUAUGUACUAAUUGUAUUCCUUAAAUGACUACUUAAUUAGUUGUGUUGCUCUAAAACUCCAUUAAAUAUAUUUGAUGGUUCCAACUCUUGGUAGAUUCCAAUACAUGCAUGAGAGUCUUGAUUACUACAUCAUUUAGCUACUGCUAUGUGUCAUUCUUAGCCUUCAAGCAGCUUAACUGACUCUCAGUCAACAAUAACAACACAUCCAACAGCUUAAGGAUUGCUGUUUUUAGUGGAGAAAUGUGGAAGAGAAAGAGCCUUUGAAGAUUCCUUUAUGAGUUUGCACAUUGUGGGAGAUUUUGUUUCACUUUUACCAUUGUCAGGCCAUAAUCAUGGAUGUUGACAUGGUUGGACAGAUGUCGAAUGAUGGUGUCAUUGGGCCCCCACCAUCAAAGAAAAAGCAGUCCCCAUGGGGCAUCUAAGCGGAAAGAGAAUCCAUUAUAGUAUAAAGAUUUAGCAUUCACACUCAUAGCUUCGACAUCAAUCAUUUUCUUCCUUGCCGAUGUUCUUUAUAUUUUGCUUUCUUUAUUUCUUGAUAAGUUGUUUCUGGAUGAUAUUUUUUUAGAAUCUCUUGGAUGUCGUAUGCGUGCUACGUCACUCGUUUGUAUCAAAACACGCAUAAACAUUAUUUCUUUCAAUCGAGAUUUAAAAUUAAAAGUCUACAUACACUUUUUUGUUGUAAUUUGACUGAUGGACCAUAAUGUUGGAUUGUGAACUACCUUAGUACAUAUGUGUAGAAGUGUGGCAGGUGACGUAAGCAUAAAUAAUCAUUUUAACAUGCAUGUUAGCAAAAUGUUAAAUUGUGUUUAAUCAUAUUAAAUUAAUUUAUGUAUUGGUUUUGUUCAGGUAUAAUAAAAUUAAAAACACAUGUAUAAACUUAGUGUAAGUUUUAGGAUUCUCACCUUUAGAUUUCAUAGGUGGACAAAUUCAAUGUUGUUAAAGAUCCCAAGUGUUAGCCCUCAACUAGUGUCUACACGAAUAAAUAUCUGGCUAGUGAAGCAAAAAAACGACAAUUUGCUAGAACUUUAUCCAUCAGGUAGGUGUUGCCAUAAAGGGAUUUGGUAUGGUGUUUUGUUUUUCAAUUCUCUAAAUUGGAAAACCUAUUUCUUUUCUCUCUAAUAUCUAUUUGCGAUUAUUGAAUUCUCACACUAUGUUACAUAGACCCCUUAGGCUUAUAAAAAGAACAAUCUGUAAUUAAGCCAAUUGUGUGUUGCACGCCCUAGGGAAAUUUUUUAGAAACUUUUGGGUUCACUAGUCUGUAUCACGUCACUCGCUUGUCUCAAGAAGAGAUCCUUUCACAUCACCAGUUUACCACACUAAAAUUUUGAAUUUAUUAGAUGGAUAAUACAAUUUGUUUAAUAAAUGACCAACUUUACAAAUAUUUUUGUGAAGUGAUUUCACACAUAUUUUUUAGCUUUUACACACCCAUGUUUAAUUUUAGAUGUUGAUUCCGUUUGAUUUAUUUAAUCUGGUGGCCAUAAAUAAAGAGAGGUACGUGGAAAACUAAAAAUGGUGUGUGAAAAUCCUUGACACUACUAAGCAUGAAUUUUAGUAAGAUGAAAAAAGACCUUCGCUUGAUACCCGUGGGAGGACGUGACAUGACUUCCUUUAUUGAAGGAUGAGGAAUGCUAAUGUGACUUUCAAAAGUAGGACUUUCUAAUGACUCUCUGCCACCUCAUAGCUAGUUUAAUGUCAAUUCAUUCACGUGCCAACAUUAUAACACAAAUGCUAGGAAGGCUACAUUUAUAGACAAAAUUUGUAUACUAAAUGACAUGAAAGUUGAUGAUUAUAUUAUUAUUUAAGCGUUGAUAAACGUGCUCAUUUUCUAUUGGUAACAAGUCAUUUAGUUUUCAAAUUUUGUCUACAAAUUUAGUCUCCAUAGCAUUACCUGCAUUAUAAAGUAUUGUGCCAAAUAUAUGAGCUGACAAAGAGUCCAUAGAGAGUCUCAAUUUUGAGUCUCAUUAGCAUUUAUCUUCAAGAAUUUAUCCACAUUCUCCUCACGUAAUAAUUUCACCAAAAAUGUUUUCUAAAUGCUCACUUAUCAAGAUUAAACCCCCGUUUGGUAUUUUAUUUUUUGGGUAAAAGACUGUUUACUACCCUCAUGUUUCGUGGUUUUCAACAUUUAGUACAUCAUGUUUUUUUCGUCUCAGAGUCAUACCUAAAGUGUAAAUUUUGGGACAGUCUCAUACAUCCGUUAGUCAAACUGUUAAGUUUUUCGUUAACUGUGACGUGGCGCACUGACUGGGCGCCACGUGUCAUCCACGUUUUUUUUUUUUCUUUUUCUUUUUUCUUUCUUUUCUUUUCUUCUUCUUCCUUCUUCUUCUUCUUCCUCCGACUGCAACUUUUUUUUUUUUUUUUGCUUCUUCCUUUUCCUUCUUCCUUCCUUCCUCCUUCCUUUCCCUUUCUUCCCCUUCUUCCUUCUUCUUCCUUCUUCUUCCUCCGAAAUCUGGGGAAUGUUUUUUUUUUUCUUUCUUCUUCUUCCUCCUUCCUUCCCCUUCUUCCUUCUUCUUCUUUCUCCUUCUUCUUCUUCUUCUUCUUCCUCCGAAAUCUGGGGAAGUUUGUUUUUUUUUUUCUUUCUUUCUUCUUCUUCCUCCUUCUUCUUCUUCUUCUUCUUCCUCAAAAAAAAAAAAAAAAAAACACUUUUAUCUUUUCUUCCUCUUCUUCUUCUUCUUCUUCUUCUUUCUCUUUCCUCCUUCCUUCUUCUCCUUCUUCUUCUUCUUCUUCUUCUUCCUCCGAAUCUGCCCAGAUUCAAUUUUUUUUUUCUUCCUCCUUCUUCUCCUUCUUCUUCUUCUUCCUCCGAAUUUGGGGGAAGAUGAAAGUGUUUUUUUUUUUUUGAGGAAGAAGAAGAAGAAGAAGAAGAAAGAAAGAAAAAAAAAAAAAACAUUCCCCAGAUUUCGGAGGAAGAAGAAGGAAGAAGAAGGAAGAAGGGGAAGAAAGGGAAAGGAAGGAGGAAGGAAGGAAGAAGCAAAAGGAAGAAGCAAAAAAAAAAAAAAAAAAACAAAAACAGAAAGUUGCAGUCGGAGGAAGAAGAAGAAGAAGGAAGAAGAAGAAAAGAAAAGAAAAAAAAAAGAAAAAAAAAAACGUGGAUGACACGUGGCGCCCAAUCAGUGCGCCACGUCACAGUUAACGAAAAACUUAACAGUUUGACUAACGGAUGUAUGAGACUGUCCCAAAAUUUACACUUUAGGUAUGACUCUGAGACGAAAAAAACUUGAUGUACUAAAUGUUGAAAACCACGAAACAUUAGAGUAGUAAACAGUCUUUUACCCUUAUUUUUUUCAACAAAAGUUGCUUCACUUUAAAGUUAAGCAGUAAGAAUGUGUUUGGUAAAAAUAAAUUAUUUUGCUUAUAUUAAAAGUAAUGCAUGUCCUCCAGACAGCAACUUUUAAAAGCAGCAUGUAGGUAAAGCUGUUUUUAAUAAAAAGCAGAAUUGAGCUUUCAAUGAAUAUUUUUAAUUCCUGUAAUAUGCUCAAUAAUUUUAGAAAAUAACAUUAUUUAUUCUUGUAGGCACAUUUUAUCAUUGGAGAACAAAGUGACCACCACUAUAAACCCUAACCUCUUACACUACCAUUGCCAUGAUCACCACCAUUGUUGCCACCACCACCACACUACAAUUGCGCCACCACCACUACAACCAUACACACCACCGCUACCUUUGCCAUCAUUACCACCACACCGCCGCCGCCGCCGCCACCACCACCAUAAACACAACUGCCACCAUCAAUGUUGUUGCCACCCCUACGACCAAUGUUGCCUCUGCAGCCCAACCACCACCACCAUCCCAACCCUUACCCUUAUCACUGUUGUCGUCGUCACCACCAACAUUGUUACGUCUAUUUUUGUCAUUAUAUACAAUUAUAAAUUAUCAAACGCUUUUACGCCGUUUUUCAUACUCAACACUUUUAAAAAUACAAUUCAUCUAACACUCAACUGCUUUAUUUUGUAGCAGAUUAUUCUUAAAGCACAUCAGAAGCACUUUUUUUUAAAGCACAUCAAUCUCAAAAUGGCCGUAAGAUUAUGAGUUUUUCAAUUGAGAUAAAUAUAUAAUUUAUUUGACCAAAACGAUUUUAAAUUAUUUGUAAUAAGAUCACGCGAAAGAAGAACAUAAACGUUACACAUGAAAUUAAACCAAAGCAAAUGAUUUUCUUGGGUUUUAACACCCAUAUAUUUUUUGUUGGUUUAUCAUUUUCACCGAGCUCCACCUCAUUUAUACUUAAAGAAAUGUAUUAUGUUCCGAUCCAGAAACCAAGCUCCACCUCAUCAAUACUUGGAUAAUUUGAUGCAUUACUUUUGUUUCCUUUCUCAAUUUGGAGGCCCAAACAAGAAACAAAGCUACACUAGACAAAGACAACUGCUGUAUAGUGGGUGUUUUAGAAACUUAAAGGAAAGAAACUCAAAAGCUUCAAUUUGUUUGUCGUGCUCCUUUAACUUCCUCUUUUACUGUUAUACAAGCGAAAACAAGAGAGAUUUAAUGAGUAAAGGGAUACUUUACGCCUUGAUAUACAAGUUUAUUGUCAUGAUCUAGCAAGGUUUCUUCUAAGGAUCUUGGCUUUCUUUGUCUAUAAAGAAGUUGGGUUUUUGGUUGUUUAAUUAAUUUCUACUAGAAUUGCAAGAUAAAAAGGGAUACAAACACUACAAGAAAGCCGGGCUUAUGUGACGACAGAUAUUCGUCAUAGAAAAUAAAAAUGCGUCACAUUUGAUAAUAUGUGACGCCUUUACAGCGUCACUGCGAACGUCACCUAUGAUGCGUCACGGAAAGUAUAAGUGACUAAUUUUAAAAGCGCCACAUAUUUGUAGUAUAUGUGACACUGUUUUCGUCAAUUAAUAGGAGAUUGUGACGGAUUAGGCGUCACAAAAGAAUAAAUUAUGUGACCUAUAUAAUUCGUAAUGUAUGAAAUAGAUAAGUGACACUGAAGGCGUCACAUUUUUCUUCCAUUUGUGGCAUAGCUUGGGUCACUUAUGUCAAAAUAAAAUAUCUAUUUUGAAAAUAUAUGUGACAAACCAAUACAAUUCCCUAUUUAUAAUAUGAUGUUACAAUUCCUUGUUUAUAAAAAAGAAUCAAUUAUGUGACCUAUAUAAUUCGUCACUUAUGAAAUAGAUAACUAACACUGAAAGCGUCACAUUUUUCUUCCAUUUAUGGCACAGCCUGGAUCACUUAUGUCAAAAUAAAAUAUCUAUUUUGGAAAUAUAUGUGACAAACCAAUACAUAUUCCCUGUUUAUAAUCUGAUAUUACAAUUCAUUGUUUAUAAAAAAGAAUAAAUUACAUGACCUAUAUAAUUUGUCACUUAUGAAAUAGAUAAGUGACGCUGAAAGUGUCACAUUUUUCUUCCAUUUGUGGCGUAGCCUGGGUCAUUUAUGUCAAAAUAAAAUACCUAUUUUGGAAAUAUAUGUGAUAGACCAAUACAUAUUCCCUGUUUAUAAAGGAUCAAGGGACAAACAUUUUGACAAACAUAUAUAUAUAUAUAUAUAUAAUAUAUAUAUGUUUUUUUUUUUAAGAUGAUAACAUUUCCUGAAUAAAACUGAGAAGAUAUAUAAACCGGCAAGCAAGUUUAUUUAUCUUAAGAAAGUAACAGUAUUUCCAUAUUCACUUUCAGGUUAUUACAACUUUGACGUCGAAAAAAUAAGAACAUUUAGGGAAGAUGUUUUUCUCAUAAGUUAGGGUUUCUUCAAUGUUUGUCGGUUUCUUUACCUAAGUAAGUUUUUAUCUGUCAAAUUAGUUACGAAGGCUUACUGUCAAAUUGAAUGAAAGGUAAUGAAAGCAGAAAAUAGAAAACAAAAUAUCGGAGUUGACUAUUGGUAGGAUGAAUUUGAGUUAAAUUUCUUUGAAAACUUUAAAAUUGACAAGGAUUACCAAAACUAUACAAUUACCACAUAACAAGAACACAAAGGAAACUACGAGCUUGUUUGGUAUCCUAUUUGAAAAUUAUUGUCAUUUCUCAAAACAUUUCUUGAAAACAAUUUUCUUUAAGACUAAAAAACUUGACUGGUUUGCGAUUUACAAUUUUUAAAUCUUACAACUAAAAUUAGGCAAAGAGAUCUAAAAAGAGGGGAUCGUAGGAGAGGGAGAAAGAGGAGAGAAGAGGAAAGAAAGCAAGAGAUGAUUGAAGAAAAGAGAAAGAAGAGAGAGAAUCGAACAAAAGAGAGAGGAAGAGGAGUGAGAGAAAGAACAUAGAGAAUGAAAAGAGCAGAUUGAAAGAGAGACGAAACAUGUAAAAAAAUAAAAAUAAAGAGGAGAGAGAGAGAGAAGAAAAGAGAGAGAUUUGGAGUGAGAGGGGAGAAGGGAGAGAAGAAAAAAAAGUGUGAGUUUAAGUUUAAAAACUCUAAAAACUCACUUUUUAUGUUUUUAGAUAAUAGACUAUAUUUUUGAGUUAGUCUUGAGUUUAGUUUUUUAAGUAGUCUUACCAAAGACUAAAACUUGAAAAUUGUUUUUGAGUUUAAAAAAUUGGAUUCAAGGAAAGUAUCAAACAGACGCUAAAAAACUUGAAACAAAAGUUUACAAACAAACAACCAACGACAUAAGGAAAACAGACUGCAUACUUUUAUUUACACCAUUUUGUAGUACCCUCAAAACUAAUUGGCAAGUUAUUUAAUUACCAUAAGUGAUAAUGCUGUCCAUAAUCUUGGCCACUACCUCCUUAGAAUCCCUAAGCUUUUUUAUGCUUUUGUUAAGCUUCUCACGCUUUACUGCCAUUGCCGGCGACUCCUCCAACAUCCUCUCGAUUCCCCCAUCGUAAUGUCCCAUCAACUCAUUCAUAAUCUCAGCUUCCAUCUCUUUGUUCACAAGGUUAAAAACAGACAGCUGCAAGUGCAAUGCCAUGAAGUCCACAAACCUCCUCAAAACAACCUUCCAAUAGGCAGUCAUUCUCAUUUUAAGGUCAUAAGCUUGAGCUAAAACAUGCGGUUACUUCCUCAGAACACCGACUUCAACUUCCCCGAUGCCUUCUAUAGCUAUGAUAGAAGGUUUAUUCUCGUCAGUUAAGACUCCAUGAAUGAAAACAUUUUGACUAGCCAUCAACUUGUUCCAUUCGGAAACAUAAUCAGCAUUGCAUGUAUAAUCUGUCAGCUUUUCCAUCUCUACAAGCUCCAGCAUCCACUUUGACACGCCCUGAUCCGGAUGUCCUGGAGACAUCGGGAUAGUCACGUGCUGGCCGACACCCGAGGGGUGACGAAAGCCAUUUAAAAGGCAUAAGAACGAGAAAUAUGAAUUUAAUAUAACAUUUAAUAGGCAUUUAAGGAACGUGUUCAGAGCAUAUAACUAAUUAGAAUACUAGGAAAAAAAUGAUAUAAAAAUUGAAUAAACAAAAGGAGUGGGUCCUACACCGAGAGGACUCGAAGAUGCCAAUGUAGAAGUGUCUUGACGCCGGGAUUGUAUGCCUCGAUUCUAAGCCCUGAAGGGGGCGCAAAACAAAGGUGAGUGGACCAGUUUGAUAUACAUAUAAUAAAACAGUUAUCAACAUACUAACCCCCUGAUUUUUAUGAAAACACAUAUAUGUAUCAUGAUAAACAUAAGUUUUCCGAAACCUAGAAUGUCGUGCAAUAUCUCAAAUCAUAACUCGCAAAACAUAAUAAACACUAGUGUCAAAUGUCCACAUAUAUCCAUCCAGGCCCUAUGUCAUCUCCCCAUCCCUGAGCAUACAGUCAAAGAAAAUAUGACUUCAGGCCCUAUGCUAGCUCCACUGUCCCUGUUCUAAAUAGUCAGAGGGAAAUACACUCCAGGCCCUAUGCCAACUCCACCGUCGCCCGGGAUGGACCGAAAUCUAUCCCUACAUCCCGUAGCGGAAAUUGGGACAGCUAGGUAAUACAGAAUCAUCGCACAUAUAUUUAUUCAAAAGUAACAUCAUAUAUCAUUCUUAUAAACUCAUGCUUUUUAUGCGUGCAAUUCUACUAAUAAAGCAUGUAUUUUAGAAGGGGUCCACUCACAGUACUUCACCGUCGAAAGCCGCGCUGCUAACAAAGAUAGAAACGCCACAAUAAUUGCCCCUAAGCACAUAAACGUUCCAAUUAAUAAAUCUUUAUUAAAACAAUUGAAUUUGAGAAAACGGACGUCGAAAACGGAUUCAAGACGUUGAAUUACCUUAAGAAGGGUCCUGGAUAAAUUUCGUAAACGUCAAUAGAAUAUUCCACAUCAAGAGUUUGGGCCGGCUAGGGUUUAAGGGUUUAGUGCUUAAGGCCCUAGGUUAAAAAGGUUUGGGUUAGACUUUUAAAAAGGUUAGGCUUAGGUUAAAUAGGUUUAGGGCUUAGGAAGUUGGGUUGGGUCCUUAAGGGUUUUGGGUUUCUAGGUUAAAGGGUUAGGAAAUUGGGUUGAUAAAAAGGGCCUAGGGUAAAUAAUUGGGUUUGGGCUUAAAAGGGUCACGGAUUGGGCUGGAGACCCGUGGGUUUUGGGCUGGUUUCAAAGGACUUGGGUCGAGUUGAUUCGUUUUCAGGCCAAUGAAAUGGUCGAUUUCUGGGUAUCACUUCGAACGCCCAUAACUUCUUCGUUACUCAUCCAAAAUAAGUAAUCCAAACAUGAAAGUUGUAGUACUCGACGAGAUGAAGAGAUUGAUACCCUGCACUCCGCCAAACUCUCCGUGGUUUGGCCGGAAAACACCUCGAAAGGGGCGGUGCUCGUCGGAAAACUGGGUUUUUUGGCCGAAUGUUUGGGUAAUUUUCAAAGCUUUGUAACUUCUUCGUUUCUUAACCACAUUGAGUGAUUCAAAAUCUAAAAUGUAGUUAGGAAUGUGGAGAAGAGGUUCAUACCAAGUGAGGACCGAGUGGUUACCGGAGUUCACCGAAAAACGACCUGAAAAAUCAUAGCAAAAGACAGCAUAGUGAAAGAGGCUUGAGUUGUAGUGCUAGUUGCUGGAGUCGAAGAAGGGGUUGUGGUAGUGAGAGUAGAAAGAAACGGAGCGGAGGGAGUUGGGAAAGAUUGUGAGGUCGGUUUUGAGGUGGCAUUGGAGAAACUAGUGGAGAAACCAAAAGAGGAUUGCAAAGCGGAGGAAGCCAGAGUUCCGAAGGAAGAGAAUCUGGAAACGGUUAUUGAUGGGGGAGCAGCGGUGGUGGGAGCAGAGGUUGUGGGUUUCAAAAGAGAGGAGGAUGUUGGUAAUGUGAAAGCUGAAAAGGAAGUGGAGAAGCUUUGGAACCAUUGGGUGGUUAGAGCUAUAGAGGAUGACGGUUGGGACGAGGAAGUUGUGCCAGACAGCGGCGAGGGUACGCUGGGUGCAUAGGACGUUGUGCCAAACAAGUGCGAAGCGGAAGUUGAGGGGUUCCAAACAGGGGUGUGGGUGCGCUGGGUGCAAAUGAGGUUGCUCUGAAUGGGGAUGAAGUGGCGAAAGAAGGAGCGCCGAAUAGAAGGGACCAUUGGGUGGUUUGACCUAUAGAGGAUGAAGGUUGGGACGAGGAACUUGUACCAAACAGCGGCGAGGGAGCGCUGGGUGCAUAGGACGUUGUGCUAGACAACUGCGAAGCCAAAGUGGAGGAGGUUCCAAACAGGGGUGUGGGUGCGCUGAGUGCAAAUGAGGUUGCUUCGAAUGGGGAUGAAGUGGCGGAAGAAUGAGCUCUGAAUAGAGGGGACCAUUGGGUGGUUGGAGCUACAAAGGAUGAAGGUUGGGACGAGGAAGUUGUGCCAGACAGCGGCGAGGGUGCGCUGGGUGCAUAGGACGUUGUGCCAAACAACUGCGAAGCAGAAGUGGAGGGGGUUCCAAACAGGGGUGUGGGUGCGCUGGGUGCAAAUGAGGUUGCUCUGAAUGGGGAUGAAGUGGCGGAAGAAUGAGCUCCGAAUAGAAGGGACCAUUGGGUGGUUGGAGCUACAGAGGAUGAAGGUUGGGAUGAGGAACAUGUGCCAAACAACGGUGAGGGAGCGCUGGGUGCAAAUGAGGUUGCUCCGAAUGAGGAUGAAGUGGCAGAAGAAGAAGCUUCGAAUAGAGGGGAGACGGAUGCGGUGAAGGUGGUGGCAGGUGCGGAGGAUAUGAAUGGGGAGGUGCAAGAGCCGGAACAGAAUAAGGAAGGAGGGUUGGAGAAAAAGAAAUGGAAGUGGAUUGGGCGGAAGAGGAAGAAAAGGAAAAGCCAGUGGUGGACGUGGUGGCAGGUGUGGAGGAUAUGAAUGAGGAUGUGGAAGAGCCGGAAAAGAAGAAGAAAUGAGGGUUGGAGAAAGAGAAAGGGGAAGUGGAUUGAGCGGAAGAGGAAGAGAAGGAGAAGCCGGUAGUAGACGUGGUGGCAGGUAUGGAGGAUAUGAAUGGGGAGGUGGAAGAGCCGGAACAAAAGAAGGAAGUAGGGUUGGAGAAAGAGAAAGGGGGGUGGAAAAGGAAGAGAAGGAGAAGCCGGUGGUGGACGUGGUGGCAGGUGCGGAAGAUAUGAAUGGGGAAGUGGAAGAGCCGACUGAGAAGGAAGGAGGGUUGGAGAAAGAGAAAUGGGAAGUGGAUUGGGCGGAAGAGGAAAAUGCCGAGGAUUCAAAUAAAAAGCUCGACAUUGUUUUCUCUCUUCUGCUGCUGCUGCUGCUCUAUGUUAUUGAGAGGUUUUUCAAAUUUUGGGGUUUUUGGUUAACACAUUUCAAAGCCUUCUCUUUUCAUUUUCUGGUUGUCAAUGGCUUCAUCCGCCUAAGUUUUCACAUUCUGGAGAUUUUGUUUCACUUUUACCAUUGUAAGACUAUAGAUCAUAGAUGCUGACAUGGUUGGACAGAUGUCGAAUAAUGGUGUCGUUGCGGCCCCCACCGUCAAAGAAAAAGCAGUCCCCAUGGGCAUUCAAGCUGAAAGAGAACUCAUAAUUGUAUAAAGGUUUUGCAUCACAUUCAUAACUCGAUCCGAAAACUUCACAUCUCAGAUUUUCGAUCUGUAACUUCCAAAGAUUUACAUUAUGCUUCUAAAAUAAUAUACUAAAAUAUUACCAUGAUUCGACAGUCGGAUCUUCGCCAAUCAAAAUUCAAGUGGCAGUCAACAUUUUAUUUUGCGAACUUACUAAUCCAAUUCAGGAAGAUUCAUACGUCAAAUUCCCAAUCCGUAAGUUUCUAUGGUCCUCAAAUAUUACGUACUAUAAUGUAUUAAAGUUUUGUGCCAAUCCAACCAUCAGAUCAUCGAUUGCUAUAAUGUUAAAGAGGCAUACCUUAGAGAAAUUAUACCCAAACGAUGGAAUUUCAUUAAUCGGAUGUCAAAUAUGGAAUCAAGGCAUCCAAAUUAGCCUAGUAAGGUCAGGUGGGGUAUUAGCCUAGCGCUGCCGCACACGGCAACUGACCACCCCAACUCGUCGGAAAAUUCAACUAAUUUCAAAAAUUCUCAAAUUUUACCAGAAUGAAGAUCUCAAUUAGUAGAGCAAGUUUUAUACCUAUGGCCACACCUUAAAUCGCCACAAACCUACCGGAACCCUAGAAAUGGGUGGGUUUCAAUUCACCCUCUCCGAUGCUUUGACGUGCCAACCAAAGCUUGGGACUUGUUCCUGGGUUCAAGAGGUGCUGAAAUAUGGUAGUGGUUGACGAAAGAGCUCGCAGAAAUAGCGGAUUCCACUGUCGUGGCUUCGGAACACCCACCAUAGGGUUUGAAUGGAAAAGGAAGAGAUGAGGCCGAAGUGAUGAAUGGUGGGGGUGGAUGGUCACGAUUCACCAGAAAAAUGGCUGAAAUCACGACGGAAAAGGUGCAAGAAGUCUGGUCAUGAACCCGGUAAAAAAGGAUAUGGUGCUCCUCCACUCAAUAGCAAUUAAAUUGCUACCUCGAAAUAUUGAUCAUUUAAAUACUUGAUUGCAAUACUUAUCUGUCAAUCAUGUAUUAUGCUUAAAAUCUCUAUAUAACAUCUCAAAUGGUGCCAAACCAAAAAUUGAAAUAGUAAUCGUAGUUACAUGCAACCUUAACAAAGAUGAGUGUCUAUUACAAUCAUGCUAAAACUAUAGAACGGAUAAAUGCAACAUGUUCACAAAUGUCUGGAUAGUUCAUUCGAACUAGUAGUUAAUCUGAGGGUGAAAUGUGGUAAUACAUAAUAACUUUGUAACCAUGGUUUUCAAGAAGACUCCCAAAACUUGGAAGUGAUACACGCAUCAUGAUGAGGUACAACAAUGACAUGCACAUUAGGCAUCCAAACAUUAUAAUUCAUAUAUGUCACAACAAGUAGAUUCAUUAUGAAAAUUUCUCUCGAAUUUAGUGAAACACUGUGUCGAGAAGGCUAAAAGAACAAUCAAGAAUUUGAGAAUUAAAAUAAGUCCAUCAAUCUAGAAUACAAAGUAACUAGAUUAAUGCAUAACAUCUCACUACAAUGGUAGCUUCUAGAAUAUUCAAUCACCAACGGUAACGAUUCGCUUAGCAGAGUUUGUUGAGUGAUUGAGAAAUUAAUGGUCACAACUGCAAUUCCAAUGUCAAUGGUUCUUCUAGACAGUUUAUCAACUUCAAAAUAAUGCGAAGUGCAAUAGGGUAGGUAGUACCCAAGGUUGACUGGAAUGCCUUCUAACACAAAAGGUGAAUAUGAAAUCACAAUCAAAGUAGAUGUUGAUCAAAAUGUCAGAAAAUCUGAAAAAUUCAAGAAUGAGUAAUUUUCUCAAGUGAUCAAAAUGUAUUCCCUAUGGACCAAUGGAAAGUAAGCUAACUUGUCAAGUCGGCGAUAAUCACCGAAACAUCAUUGUAAUAUCCACAUAUACAAGAUACCUCAUACCAGGAGCUUAUGGUGAUAUUUCUCAUCUCCAUUUGGAUAUAGAAAGUGAAUAUAACCACUCGAACGAUUUCUUGAUAAUUUGUAAGUAACGUCAACCCAAUGCUCAUGAAUUCCAACUAAAAUGAAAUAGGACAGACUAAAAGCAUUUCGGGAGUAGAUAAUGUCUUUUGAUGUGGCAAACAGUAAUUACGUUUCCACAACGAGGAUGAUACACGAUUGUGUAAUUGUAGAUGUUAAUUUGGUUCCUCUAUCACCAUUGUCAGAAAUCUAUUUCUUUCCAAAUGGAUAUGUACUUGCGAGGUCUAAGAUUGAUAGAGAUUUUGGACACGUUUCUCUAUAGAGAAGUGUCAUUCAGUUUUUAAGUAAGAUGGUAACUAUUGACUCUAAGUUAUGAAUAAGAUGGUUCAUUCCAAACGGUUCUACACGUUGGGAAAUAUAAGCGAUUCUCCGUCAUGCUGCCUCUGUACAGCCAAAACAUCCAAAGAACACAUCAUCAUGGAUUUUCAAAAUAAUUAUUAUCAUCGAAAGGUGUAAAACGAAGGUAAGAUGAGACAACAAUUUAGUUGUCAGAAACUUUAUUCAUAAUCAACAUCAUAACUAAAUUAACUUUCCUCGAUCGUAAAUGAGGAAAAAACACUACAGCCGAAGGAUCGCUAACAAAUUGUCGAUAAAAUCGACAUGACCAAAGAUAUCUCGAACGUCACUACACUUCGUGUGAAUUUCAACUUUCUUCCACUAAACCCUUUUUGGAAAAGAAAAGAUUAUCGUUUACGAAGAUCACGUCUCCCAAGAAAAGUACCAAUUUAAUCAAAGUUAAUAGUUGAGCACUUUGGUAUAAAGCUGACUAUUGAUAUUUAGAGAAUUUGGUCUCACUGUCAAGGUAGAUGAAAAAGUCAUCGAUAAGACCACUAUGAAUACGUUAGGCUAUGGGAGAAAACUCAGGUUACAAAGGUUGGUCAGCUCGACCAUCAACUCGAAAUAGGGGCUAACGGUUUUUGGUCGUCACGUGAUUGAGUCGCUAAAGUCUAGGUACAACCCUAAGGUUCAACCUUUCGCCUUUACGAAUAGGUUUGAGAUUCUCUAGAUAAAGUGUUUGGUUAGAUACAGGGUCGGGCGUGUCAGUUUGGUAUUAGAGCGUGGUUUGUUCAUAGCAUACUUAGGAUCUUCUAUUAUUGUAGUAGUGUGUCGAUCAUGACGUCAUUUGGAUGUCACGACUUCCUGAUUUGUUGUCUUUCGGCACAGUUAUGCAACCCUCAUUCUGCAUGAAUAGUCACAUCUUAUGGAAGAAAAAGAAAAUUCGUGUUGGGAUUUUGCCUCAGUGUUGACGAAAUGGAUUGUUGAACAACUUUCAACAUCGAACUGAUACUCUAUAGCAUGCGUUCCCUAAGAAUUGCGAGUAGAGUUGGUGUUUACAUUGAAGUGACUAUCUAAGCCGAAGAAACUAUCAUAGACACUUAAGAGCAAGUCUUGUAGAAUGACUGUAACCUCCUAGUUGUUUUAACCAUGUUUUCCACUUAGGUAACCAAAACCUCUUCGUCUAGCCACAUUUUCGAUCACUUCCACAAGUGGACAAUAGAAUCGAAGUACAAGUUAACUUCUCAUUAUUAGAGUGAAGUAGCGUAUCGAGAAAGCUACAAAGACUUAUUAGCACGUGUCUACCCUGGUGUUCGGUAGAUAUCAGGGUCGGGCGUGUCAGCGAGUAUCUUUGACAUAAUUCAAAGACGUAGUAACUAAAGUAUGCUUAAUAGACCUCCAAGAAAUUGUGGUUCCACCAACAAUACCCAUUUAGGAUCUUGCCAUGUACGGAUCGAAUAAGUACAUAGCGUCAACAUAACCAACAAAAGCAACUCGAAAACUAGGGGGAGGGGGGACGGUUGCACUCAAAGUUGAGUAAGGAUAGGACAAACACAAGUCCACAACACUAUUAAGAUAACAUAGAGUUUUUUUAACACAUUUCAAUGUCUGCAUGUUGGCACAUGAUUGUGUUAUGCUAAGAGAUUUAUAAUGCAGGAGAUGUUAGGUCUUGUACACUGAGAUAAGUACAACAAAGCACCAAUUGCACUUAAGUAUGGAACCUCAGGUUCUAAAACUUCUUCAUCAUCUAUCUUUGGACGGUAUAGGUCUUAUUGUGCAUCAAGCGUACAGAUGACAAUGAGAGUACUCAAAGUCCACGCUUUAUCAUUAAAGCAUUGUAACAUCGUCUUGGUGUAGUUUGACUAGUUGACCAUGACUAAUGGACCAUAAUGUUGGAUUGUGAACUACCUUAGUAUAUAUGUGCAGAAGUGUGGAGGUUGGCAUAAACAUAAAUAAUCAUUUUAACAUGCAUGUUUGCGAAAUGCUGGAUUCCAUUUAAUCAUAUUAAAUUAAUUUAUGUAUUGGUUAUGUUCAUGUAUAAUAAAAUUAAGAACACAUGUAUAAACUUAGAGUACGUUUUAGAAUUCUAACCUUUAGAUUUCAUAGGUGGACGAAUUCAAUGUUGUUGAGGCUACUAAGUGUUAGCCGUCUACUAGUAUCUACACAAAUAAAUCUUCGGCUAGUGAAGCAAGAAGACAACGAUCUGCUAGAACUUUAUCUAUUAGGUAGGUGCUGCGGCAGAGGUACAAUGCAUUGUUAUGAAGUUGGUCUAUAUUGUCACGCCUCGCCCCGAAAUAUAAAUAUAUUAAAUCUUCGGCUAGCGAAGCAAGAAGACGACGAUCUGCUAGAACUUUAUCUAUCAGGUAGGUGCUGCGGCAGAGUGACAAUGCAUUGUUAUGAAGUUGGUCUAUAUUGUCACGCCCCGCCCCAAAAUAUAAAUAUAUUUCGGGAAUUAAUUAUGGUAGGCCCAACUUAAAAACGUAGUUAAUUUAUUUCCUUUAACCACAUCCCUCUAAGUCAAUAUUACUUACUAUUACAAGCUAUCCAUAUUUUCUUAAAAUGUCAAACAUAUCUUUCAUUUAACAAUUGAAUUCACUAAUAUUAGUUGUCAUUCUCCAAAUAAUUCCCUUCGUCCCACGUAGAAUCUAUAACCAUUAUUCGUUUACCAAGAUAUACAAUUUACUUUCCAAUUUAGAACCAUUUCCUUCUCUUAGAUCAAAUUCCAUCUAAACACUAAUUCUCGAUUAUUUAGUCUCACUUAUUUAUGGCUGCAUCUAACGUCUUGUUAGACUGCCUACGUACCCUAAACAAAGAUCAAGCCAUUCGUAGUUCACAAAUUCAAAUUCAAUUAAACUUUGAUAUUUCUACACAUAAUUAACAAUCACCAACUAGCUUCAAAUAAGUGUAUCACAUUAAAUACUUAUUUAACUUGAAUCCAAAACAUCAAAUUUAGCUUAAAAUACGGCAUCGGUUCCCUAGCCAUGCGUCGUCGCCGUCCUGACUUGCCGAAAAAUUCAACUAUUUCUAAAAAUUCUCAAAAAUUACAAAAAUGAAGAUCUCAAAGAGUAGAGCAAACUUUAUACCUAUGGCCAAGCCCAAUUUGGCCGGGAAACACCUCAAAUUGGCCACGAACUGCCGAAAACUCUUGUUUUGGGUGUUCUUGAUUUGUCUCCAAAACAACUUCGACGCCUCAACCAAUGCAUGGGCUUUGUUCUAGGCCUCAAGAAGAGUAUGAGAGUAGUGGUAAUUGAAUGAAAUCACUUCAAAAUUUGGUGAAUUUUGACACCUACACCGUCGCACCCACCGGUGCGUUUUACCCCAUUUCAAGGUCAAAUUUCAUGAUUUUUGGGGGGUAACAGGGUUAGGGAAGGUCAUUGAGGGUUUUCCAAGUGGUAGUUUAAAUUGAUUUGCUGGAAAAUGGGCUAAAACUCACCAAAAAUAGCAAGGAAAACCGACCGAAUCGAGUCGGGUCCUUUCAGGUCAGGGAUCCCCCGUACCCCUUUUCUCUCAUUUUCCCCCCUUUCUCCUUUCUCCCAUUGGUCAACCUCCCCCUAUUCCUUCCUUCCUUUUCUCCUUUCUAUUCUUUUCUUUCAAUCUCAACCGUCCAUUUCUUUAUUUAUUUUCAUCUCAGCCACACACGUGGCACAACCAUUGGAUCAAAUUUUCUGGAGCCUUCUACCAUAAAAUGAAAUUAUUAAAAUAUCCUUAACUUUAAACGUUAAUAUCUUCUUUGUUAUAACUUCGUUUCAUGAACGGUUUGUGCCUACACAUUCAUGAGAUCGAGCUCUAUUCAAAAAUAUAAAUUGUCACUCUGAAUAGUUUUCGGAUUUUUAAAUAAUAAAUUCCCAAACUUAGAACUUCUUAACCAGUUUAAUUUAAAACUAAACUCGAAUAAAUUAAUAUAAUUUCUUGAAAAAUAAUCUAAAAUCUCAAUCAUACAAAUACAUAAAUUAUAAUAAUUUCCGAAAAUAAAACUUUAAAAUUUUCCAAUUCUACUUUCAUAACCAUAAAUCGAUUUAUUUUCAAUUUUCUCCACAUAUUCAUAUAUUUAAAAUUUCAGGGUAUUACAUAUAUUGUAUUGGAAAAUAAACAACAAGAAAGUUCAGAUGCCAUACCCUUUAAUAGCCAUAACAAGUGUUGAAGUUGUCGAAGUUGUAGUUUUACUAGAACUGUUUGUUGUCGUUUCAGGUACAAUGUAAGGAAUAUUUCGUCAAAACUAGGUUUAUGGAUAAAAAAUAAAAAAAAACAUACCAACUCAAGCAGUAAGGAUAAACAACUAAAUUAUUCUAAACAAGUGAACUCCAAAUGUAAUGACCUGUCUCAAAAUUUUAUAAAUUUCAGAACGACAAGGGUAAAUUGGUAUUUUCACAUGUGAGAGAUAUUUGCAUGUUUGUCUCUUAUGACUUGUUUGGUGCGCCAAUGAGGCCCACCGCUUUUAUUUGGGGACUAGGAUUAUCUCUUCUGACACACCCUGACCCAAAAUAUCGAGAUGUGCUGGCAGUCACGUGAGGAUGACGUAGCCAUGCGCGUUGUGCGGAAGAAUUAAAGUGAAAGACAGUGAGGAAACGAAAAGUAAACCGAAUAAUUUACAUCAAAAGAUAAGUGAGUAAAAGUGAUGAAAAGGAAAGCAUAAAGCACCACAUCAAAGUUCAAGUAACCUAGGUGCAGUCCGGAAUAAACAAGUACUGAAUAAACGUUAACCAAAUAAAUCCUACAUGGAUGAUGCCUUGUUAAAACUGUCUCGAUGCCUCGCUCGCCACCAACGUCGCAACUACCUAAAACUUGGAGCGGCGCAAAACUGAAAACAUGAGUGGGUAAAAACAAAGUUUUUCCAAAACCGUUUCAAUAUCAAAAUAGUAACCCCUCUCCCUAUACUUUCUCAGAAAAUAUCAUCCAUACUCAAAUAUCAAUCAUGCUGGAAAACGAUAAAUCUCAAAUAUGCCAUGUUAGAAUACGACAUGUCGAAUUACCCAAUCAAAACAAAAUAAGUAUCAAGUAGGUGAGAUAAAUCAAAUCAUAAUAUGCCGCCAAUCUCAAUACGUCAGUUGGAGUCACCUAACGUGAACUGUACGACUGAAUAUAUAGCUCCUCAAUCACUAUCUUGCACACGAGUCGGAACCACCUAUAGUGGUCUGUACGACAGGCUGGGUGUAUAAUUACGCUCAGUGCUACGAUCACGUGAAGGCUGUGCAACGUAUCACAAGUCACCUAUGAGUCGGAACCACCUAUAGUGGUCUGUACGACAGGCUGGCACCUGCCUUGGGUCCAAGGUGAGCGUACGGUGCGGGAGGUGAACGAUCACGUGAAGGCUAUGCCGUACUCUGGCAGAGCACAAACACCGGGGUGCAGGAAUAUGAGCUAUAUCUCAAUCUCAUCAUCAUCACAACUAUCACUAACAAGUAUACUCACCUGACUUACCUGAGCGACGCCAAUUCAUAACCAACAUAAAUCAUAAUAAACAAUAAUGAUAUUCGACAUGGCAUUUCAAUUAUAAAACCAUUUUAAAACAUAAUAUCUGGGAAAAUAUCAAAUAUAUAUAUAUAUAUUCUGAAAACAAAAGCCCACUCACUGAUAAGUAGAAGGGUCUUAGCCCCCGAGCCUGGCAUGGCUGUGCUCGUCUUCUGGAUAAGCCUUACCUAUAUGUGAAACAACUAUAAAACCGUCAAUUAAACGCACAUAACCAACCUUAGGUAAUAACUUCUCAUACAUUGCUCAAUUGGAGGUGUUUGAAUCUAACAACAUGCUUUACUUAAUCUCAGAACACCCUCAUAUUUUUAGAAAAAAUUUCUUGUCACCCACGCGUAGGCACGUGCCUGGCACACGGACGGAACAGUUAAUGCCGUAAGGAAUAUUUUGUUAAAAAGUAACAGAUUCCAUUAAAUCUAACCUGACACUGUUAGAAUAUUCCAUCAAACUUGACGGAAUAUUCAUCGUCUCCUUCCUUGAGUCACGGGAGUCCGGCGCCGGUCGCCGUCUGUUUGCGGGUUUCUGGAAAAUUUUCAAAUGUUGAUAUCUCAGUCAAAUCUUAACUAAAUUUCACGAAAUUAACGUCAAAAUGAAGCUUAGGACAAGGGGAAGAAAUCUAUACCAAUUUGAGGUCCCAACGAUGCUGGAAUCUCGCCAGAGAAAUCUCGAAAAAUCUGAUCAACUAUAGAACUCAAGAUUUCGACAUCCAAAACACGUCAACGUUGCUCCCCAAGCUUCGUGAAGACGUCUAGAAACUCCCUGUGAUCUUAGAAUCUCUAAAAACCUCCUCAAUCACGAGUGCAUGAACAAUACCUUUAUUGGAGCUUUCAGGUUUCAAGGGUUUUCAAGGUUUUCAGGACAAACCAAGGGUAUAGUUGAACUUGCAAGGGUGCAAGGAGAAGCAUGUAUAUCCGUACUUAGGGUAUGGAAAAUAGAAGAAAAAUCGAGAAGGAGGGAGAGACAGAACCAGAAACAGAAAAGGAAGAAAAAGGGGUGCACGUGUGCAUGUGUGUGUAUAAGUUUAACCAAUCACACCAAAACUAAGCUCAAGUUCUAAUUGGGUCCAAUAAUUUGGGAUAUCACCCUAUUGGCCCAAUGUAGCUCACACACAUAACCACAAACACGUAAGGGUAAAAACGUCAAUUCAUGCCGUCGAUAAAAUUAUUUCGGGACGGUCUGUCACAUCCUCUCUUUUUUCACCCCCUUCUUUAAUAUUCUUUAUUUUGUAUUUUUUUAUAUAAAUAAAAUAUUAAUAUAAAAUGUAAUCAUGAUCUAUUUGAACGGAAAUUGGAUGGAAAAAAAAAAGAUGAGAGACUUCUCAUUUAUUUGGUCUCCUGGUCCUCCCUCUCUCUUCCUUUUCCCCGUCACUCUCCUCUCAUCUUGGACUAUCACACUCUCUAACUCUCCCGGCCCUCAUCUCUCUCGCACGACCCUCAUCCUCCUUCAAAACCCAAAAAACUGGCGAUUCCACGGAACUGAAACCAAGCUGAAGUCCCCAUCCUUCUCUGUUCCCCCAUCAUCACUGUUCUCUCCUCCCUCGGAACCCUGCAACAUCACCAUCGCGGCAGAGCCGCCUUCUCCGGCGAGUUCGUCGAUUUCCCGACUUGGGGUAAGCCUCGGGAUGCUUAAGAUCUUCAACUGUUACUUAUCUUUUUGUCCUAUUUGCUGCUAAUGAUUUGUAGCAAGAGUUGAUUUUUAACUGUUUCUAAUUGGUAAUGGAUUAAAGGAAGUUCAUUUACUAUUAGAGGUGCAUGUGAAAGUAAGCUUGAUUCGUAACCUCGUCGAGCAUUUGGAGCUCGCUUUGACUGAGGUUUUUCGAUUUGAUGUGAUGGCGUAUAAGCUUUUCUCAGUUUCUCGGUCAUUUUAAGGGUGACCAAGAUUAUCUCUGUGAGCAAUGUUGAGGUUAGGGAUUGGAAGUAAAUGAAAAGGGGUGUCUUUUCAUCAAAGGCUGAGGCCAAGAUUAUCUUUUGAGAAAACUUUGAGGCCUUACCUAGAUUGCAAGUCUCUGUUAAGUUCCAAUUGACGAAGAUGUUUAAAACUGUUGAAAUUAUACUGCCUUAAUUGAAAGGAGGCCUUACCUAGGAUAAUAUCUAGCUCAUUCGGGGUCUUUUUUUGGUUCUUUAACUACAUGAAAUUUGCAUUGAGAUGAAUUCUUAUCCUGAAUGAGUACAUGUGAGAAUCACGCGUGAUUGACGGAAAAUUAUGAAAUAAGAUAAUGAAUUCCGAAGGCUGGGUGCUCAGCUGGAGAUGCGGAUAAACAAAGAAUUAUAUGUUGAUUUGAAAAGGAAGACGUUUAUAUUGUUGAUUGGAGUAUAUAUGGCCGAUGAGAAUAUGCUAAACCGAUAGUUGCUCCUUGUAGGUUGCGGGGGAAGUGGUAACAUUAUGUGUUCAGAAUGUGGUGGCCGCGGGUAUCUAAGAUGACCAUACCGGUUCGCUUAUCUUCCUUGAAUUUGUUGUAUGUGCAAGUAACUUGUGUUAUAGCCAUGACGCUUUCCCUAAUUUUUUGUGGCUGAUUCCACGAUGAGUUAAGUGUAACAGUAAUGCAUCUGAUUCAUUUACUCUUCGAAAUGGUGUUCUUCCUCAGAUUUAUGUGCCAUUUAUCGUGUUGAAUGUUCAGAACCAUACAAUUACCACAUAACAAACACAAAGGAAACGAAAAAACUUGAAACAAAAGUUGACAAACAAACAACCAACGACAUAAGAAAACAGACUGCAUACUUUUAUUUAGACCAUUUUUAGUACCCUCAAAACUAAUUGGCAAGUUAGUUAAUCCCCAUGAGUGACAAUGCUGUCCAUAUUCUUGGCAACUACCUCCUUAGAAUCCCUCAGUUUUCUUAUGCUUUUGUUAAGCUUCUCACGCUUUACUGCCACUGCCGGGGACUCCUCCAACAUCCUCUCAAUUCCCCCACCGUAUGGUCCCAUCAACUCAUUCACAAUCUCAGCUUCCAUCUCUUUGUUCACAAGGUUGAAAACAGACAGCUGCAAGUGCAAUGCCAUGGAGUCCACAAGCCUCCUCAAAACAACCUUCCAAUAGGCAAUCAUUCUCAUUUUAAGGUCAUAAGCUUGAGCUAAAACAUGCGGGUACUUCCUCAGAACACCGACUUCGACUUCCCCGAUGCCUUCUAUAGCUAUG